ACAGCACCCCCCAACCCUCCGCCCCGGGGUCCGCGGCUCCAAGCCGCGCGCGCCAGCAGACCCGCGUCUGCGCCCUCAUUACCACUACAAAGCGGGGCCGACUGAGCCUCUUUCCAAAGCUGCGUUUUCAACUGGGAGCAUCUAGAGGCCAGAAACUUCCAAGCCAGCCCGCGGACGCAGACGCCUGCUCGGUCCCGGCUUUAUCUCUAGGGAAAGUUCCAUUUUAAGAGCCAGAUGCCAACAUUCCGGGACAGUUUACGGCAUCCGGAUCCCUCAAGGGGGCUCAUCUGCAGUUCAGUGUUAGUAGCAAUUAUUUAUCGUCUGUCCUGGAGAGGAGCUCCUGGGCAAGGAUGUCCUCUGCUGGCCCUGAAACGGGCUGGGGUGGGGGCACGACUGUUCCCAACGUGUUAUCUGGUUUAGCAGAGUUUGUGGUGGUUUUCGAGGAAACAGCAUUUGGAUUACAUAAGGAUUCAAGUUUUUGCUUUACUUGUUUAUUUAAUACCUUGGCAAGAGGGAGCCCUUACCCUGAAACCAGAUAACCGAAUUUGGGUUUAAGACAGCCUUACGGGAGGGGGGCCACGGGAGGGGAGGAAAAGGAGUAAAGCCACAAAAAGCAAACAAGAGGAUGUUUAUUUUUCUCUCUUUGGGUAUUUUUGAAGACUCGCCUAGCCUCUUCUCCUUCUUGUCGCUCACAGCUAAUGAAUUGCAUUAACAAAGCGCUUCGGCUACCACGAUGGCUUUAACAGUCAUCCCCGCCCGCCGCGAUUCCGGCCCUAAUAAUUCCUUCUAGGACCCGGCGCGCGGGCCUGUUUGCCCAGAGAGCCCAAGAGCACCAGGAAAAACGCCGUACUAAAUCCAAUUGCUUUCCACCGUCUGAUCUCCUUGUAGGGAGAUCACCUUUCAGCUCCGUUUAAAAAAAAAAAAGAGUUUGGGAAAUUUGGCGGAGGGACCUAUUUAGCUACCAGCACAGCAAAUAUUUAGUUACAGAUGCUGUGAAGUACCCCGAUGUGUGGCUGCGUUUGGCGUUCACAAAGGACUGUCCUGUGGCUUUUUGUUCCGGUCACCAAAUUAAAAAAGAAAAUUAACUUGAGCAAGAGAUAAGGUCUUAGAAAACAAUCCCGGGCUGCCCGCGAGCUGGCGGGCGCGGGGCUGGCGUCGCCGAGUCUGCGUCACCCCGAGGCGCGCGUCGCGGGGCCCGGCCCCCGCGGGGAGGCCGGGUCACCGCGGGGAUCCCCGGCCGCCGCGCCUCCUCCGCGCGCCCGAGCGCAGCGGCGUCCGUGGGAACCCGCAGCGGCCCUCUCCAGCCAGCGACAAGGGCGGGCUUGUCCGGAAUCAAGCAACAUCUUAAUAUUAUAAUACGGCACCAAAAGCAACACCCGAGCCCCGGCUUGCGGGUCCCUAACAAGAAACACAUUGUGCGCUCCCUACCCCCACCCCACCCCCUUGUUGGCCGAAGCCACGUUUGCGCGCCAAGUCCAUGACUUCAGUGGGGAGGAACCCGUCCACCCCGCACCACGUGCGCGUCCCCCUCCCGCCGCCUCCCCGCUGCGCCCGGAGGUCCCGGCCCACCGCCGCCGCCGCCGCCGCCGCCGCCGCCGCCGCCGGGGGCCGGGGCGGGGGCCAGGCGCAGGCCCUUCGCGACCCGGGAGGCCAGUGCUGUCCAUCGCCUGAGGCCCUGGUGGCAUCCAGAAGGCGCCAGCUCGGGUGAUUCUGGUCACUGCCCUCUCGGGUUGCUGGUGGAGAGACUUGUGUUUGUAAAAUAGCUCACCCUUCUCUUCCCUACCUACCCAAGUCCUUGUGGCUUUCACUCCCAGAUUCUGCUUCCGACACCCCACCCCGCAGGUCCAUUUACAGACCUCCUCCUUUUGGUUGGACUGACCUCUAGCAAAGGGUUUGCAAGCCCCCCAACACUGCCACUGGCUGCGGGGAGGCCACAGGACUUAGGGCUACAUCCUCUGGGAGCCUGUGAGUUAGGAAAGGCAGAUGUCCGUUUUACAGAGGAAGAAACCGAGGCACAGAUGAAUGACCGACGUGGGCCCACACUCCCAGGACAUCACCCUGUGACAAGGCAGAGGUGUGUGAGCUUGACCCCAGGGAAAUGCACCCCCCGAGGCCCCUCUCCCACGUGAAGAGACUUGCUCCUCCAGAAAUGCCCCAGGGAACAUCCACUGAUCUAGGGCUGACUGGAGCACAGCACCACACCGUUGGAGACCGUAUGGAAGAAAUCGUGGAAACGUGUCAGUGAUUGAGUGAGUUCAGGCAAUGCCAGCGGCUACAACAAACGAGCCCUGAGAUGUGGAAUCGCUUCCACGCGCAGGAAGUUCGUUUCUCACUCCCAGGCCAGGGUGGGUGUUAGCGGCUGGCAGGCCACUCUGCUCCAAGUGAGGACUCGGGGACACAGGCUCUUUCCAUGCACGCGGGUCCACCACGUUGGCCCUGUGCUUCCAGGGUGUCUGGGUUCCUGCCCGAGGACGGGAGGGGGCGUGGAGAAGCCCUUGGGUGGUUUUUCUGGUUCAGGCCCGGAGCUAGCUCACAACACGUCGAGCACUCACAUUCUGUUGGUUAGAGAGGGUUUCUCAGGCUUUCCAGCUGAUGAGAGUCUGUCCUGAGCGGGACGUUCCCUGGCCUCUGCUCCCUCCUCCAGUUGUGACAACCAUU
Molecule: long non-coding RNA, 2658 nt
Organism: Leopardus geoffroyi (Geoffroy's cat)
Lineage: Eukaryota; Metazoa; Chordata; Mammalia; Carnivora; Felidae
Exons: 3
Source: RefSeq, a predicted model, not a curated record